RNAcentral lists this ribosomal RNA (483 nucleotides) under uncultured bacterium. RNAcentral's name for it is "bacterial SSU rRNA". It matches the Rfam family "Bacterial small subunit ribosomal RNA", at positions 30 to 507 of the family's 1533-position model. The record is from RNAcentral.
AUUGAACGCUGGCGGCAUGCCUUACACAUGCAAGUCGAACGGCAGCACGGGGCAACCUGGUGGCGAGUGGCGAACGGGUGAGUAAUGCAUCGGAACGUGCCAUUGAGUGGGGGAUAACGUAGCGAAAGUUGCGCUAAUACCGCAUAUUCUGUGAGCAGGAAAGCAGGGGACCGCAAGGCCUUGCGCUCUUUGAGCGGCCGAUGUCAGAUUAGCUAGUUGGUGAGGUAAAGGCUUACCAAGGCGACGAUCUGUAGCGGGUCUGAGAGGAUGAUCCGCCACACUGGAACUAGAGACACGGUCCAGACUCCUACGGGAGGCAGCAGUGGGGAAUUUUGGACAAUGGGCGCAAGCCUGAUCCAGCCAUGCCGCGUGAGUGAAGAAGGCCUUCGGGUUGUAAAGCUCUUUCGGCCGGGAAGAAAUCGCAUGGGUUAAUACCCUGUGUGGAUGACGGUACCGGAAUAAGAAGCACCGGCUAACUACGUG